AUUGAACGCUGGCGGCAGGCCUAACACAUGCAAGUCGAACGGUAACAGAAAGCAGCUUGCUGCUUUGCUGACGAGUGGCGGACGGGUGAGUAAUGUCUGGGAAACUGCCUGAUGGAGGGGGAUAACUACUGAAACGGUAGCUAAUACCGCAUAACGUCGCAAGACCAAAGAGGGGGAACUUUGGGCCUCUUGCCAUCGGAUGUGCCCAGAUGGGAUUAGCUAGUAGGUGGGGUAAAGGCUCACCUAGGCGACGAUCCCUAGCUGGUCUGAGAGGAUGACCAGCCACACUGGAACUGAGACACGGUCCAGACUCCUACGGGAGGCAGCAGUGGGGAAUAUUGCACAAUGGGCGCAAGCCUGAUGCAGCCAUGCCGCGUGUGUGAAGAAGGCCUUCGGGUUGUAAAGUACUUUCAGCGGGGAGGAAGGGAGUAAAGUUAAUACCUUUGCUCAUUGACGUUACCCGCAGAAGAAGCACCGGCUAACUCCGUG
RNAcentral lists this ribosomal RNA (489 nucleotides) under uncultured bacterium. Its description in RNAcentral is "partial 16S ribosomal RNA". It matches the Rfam family "Bacterial small subunit ribosomal RNA", at positions 30 to 507 of the family's 1533-position model. The record is from RNAcentral.